RNAcentral lists this unclassified non-coding RNA (319 nucleotides) under Hevea brasiliensis (rubber tree). Lineage: Eukaryota; Viridiplantae; Streptophyta; Magnoliopsida; Malpighiales; Euphorbiaceae. The record is from RNAcentral.
AUAAGUGAAGUUUUGGUCAAAAAUAGCUGCGUAACCUCUUUAUGAUAUUUCAGAAUUCAUGUGCAAGUUACACAGUAUAUUUUGUUCCAAGUAAUUGCAAGUUCUCUUGUAUGGUUGAAUUACACAGUACUAGUUCAUCUAGUUGCAUUACAGUGUUGUAGAGCUAGAUUUUAAUUUAAACAAUUGUGCUUCUUCAAAAAAAUUUUAUCCCACAAAGUUCCUCAUCUGAGAUUAGUAUCUACUUAUUCAAUAUGCAUAUAAUAAACUAAAUGGUUUUGCAAUGAUUGCUUAUUGCAGGUUACAUCUAUUCUAUCACUUG